This 376-nucleotide ribosomal RNA is filed under the name uncultured soil bacterium. RNAcentral's name for it is "bacterial SSU rRNA". It matches the Rfam family "Bacterial small subunit ribosomal RNA", at positions 26 to 402 of the family's 1533-position model. The record is from RNAcentral.
AGGAUAAACGCUGGCGGCGUGCAUUAGACAUGCAAGCCGAACGGACUUUUUCGGGCUUGCUCGAGAAGUUAGUGGCGGACGGCUGAGUAACGCGUAGGUGACCUACCCCGAAGUGGGAAUAACUGCCCGAAAGGGUGGCUAAUACCGCAUGUGAUCGUUCAUUCACUUGUGCGAUCAAAGCAGAAAUGCGCUUCGGAAGGGCCUGCGUCCGAUUAGCUCGUUGGUGGGUAAUGGCUCACCAAGGCGACGAUCGGUAGGUGGUCUGAGAGGACGAUCACCAGACUGGGACUGAGACACGGCCCAGACUCCGUACGGGAGCAGCAGUCGGGUAAUUUGCUCAAGUGGGCACGAAGCCUAGAAGCACGACGAACCGCCG